CUCAGAUUCCUGGUCAGUUGCUUGCUUUGGAUGGAAUUGUAUGUCCACUGAAGAAACAGGUUUAUAGCCUUAUCCUCCAUGAAUUUGCCCUCUUCUACAGCCAUCCAAGAUGGCGGCAGCCACUGCCUCAUGUGCAAGAGAGUUCCACAGUUUAAUGAUGCACAGUGUGAAGAA
This is a long non-coding RNA of Zootoca vivipara (common lizard), 174 nucleotides long. RefSeq lists it as uncharacterized. The record is from RefSeq and is a predicted model, not a curated record. Lineage: Eukaryota; Metazoa; Chordata; Lepidosauria; Squamata; Lacertidae.